AUGGACUUACAUCCGACUCCAAACAAACAACACACACAAAAGGAAACAGAAUGCUAAUACAUGGACUUACAUCCGACUCCAAAUAAUAGCAUACGCUAACCAGCGAACACCAAAGAAAAAGGUCAUCAGAUUGAUAAGCUAAUAGGGAGUCUGGAACUCGAUCCUAAUAGUUGUCACACAAACACAAAGAGACGCUGAGACGUCAAAAGAAACAAAAAGGUUGAACACACACAAAAAAACAAAAAGGGUGCCCGGAGAGAU
This 261-nucleotide long non-coding RNA is filed under the name Lathyrus oleraceus (garden pea). Its description in RNAcentral is "Pisum sativum (pea) long non-coding RNA (PSAT_LNC013196)". The record is from RNAcentral. Lineage: Eukaryota; Viridiplantae; Streptophyta; Magnoliopsida; Fabales; Fabaceae.